Molecule: ribosomal RNA, 477 nt
Filed under: uncultured Glomeromycotina
Lineage: Eukaryota; Fungi; Glomeromycota
Description: SSU rRNA
Rfam family: Eukaryotic small subunit ribosomal RNA
Source: RNAcentral
CGUCAUGUCAUUAGGUUGGUGUGGCGGGGAAUCAGGACUGUUACUCUGAAAAAAUUAGAGUGUUUAGAGCAGGCUCGCGCUUGAAUACAUUAGCAUGGAAUAAUGAAAUAGGACGUUUGACCCUAUUUUGUUGGUUUCUAGGAUCGACGUAAUGAUUAAUAGGGAUAGUUGGGGGCAUUAGUAUUCAAUUGUCAGAGGUGAAAUUCUUGGAUUUAUUGAAGACUAACUACUGCGAAAGCAUUUGCCAAGGAUGUUUUCAUUAAUCAAGAACGAAAGUUAGGGGAUCGAAGACGAUCAGAUACCGUCGUAGUCUUAACCAUAAACUAUGCCGACUAGGGAUCGGAUGAUGUUAAUUUUUUAAUGACUCAUUCGGCGCCUUACGGGAAACCAAAGUGUUUGGGUUCCGGGGGGAGUAUGGUCGCAAGGCUGAAACUUAAAGGAAUUGACGGAAGGGCACCACCAGGGGUGGAGCCUGCG